This 470-nucleotide ribosomal RNA is filed under the name uncultured bacterium. RNAcentral describes it as "partial 16S ribosomal RNA". The stretch from base 20 to 299 matches the Rfam family "Bacterial small subunit ribosomal RNA", at positions 47 to 358 of the family's 1533-position model. The record is from RNAcentral.
AACGAACGCUGGCGGCAUGCCUAACACAUGCAAGUCGAACGAGACCUUCGGGUCUAGUGGCGCACGGGUGCGUAACGCGUGGGAACCUGCCCUUAGGUUCGGAAUAACUCCCCGAAAGGGGUGCUAAUACCGGAUAAUGUCUUCGGACCAAAGAUUUAUCGCCUUUGGAUGGGCCCGCGUUGGAUUAGCUAGUUGGUAGGGUAAAAGCCUACCAAGGCGACGAUCCAUAGCUGGUCUGAGAGGAUGAUCAGCCACACUGGGACUGAGACACGGCCCAGACCCGAGGGGGAGGCAGUUGGGGGGAACAGAGAACAAGGGGGUAAGGCUUGCACCAGAAGGGCGGGGUGGGGGGUGGAGGGGUUAGGGUCGUAAGGCUUUUGUACCGGGGAUGAUAAAGACAGUACCGGGAGAAUAGGGCCGGUCUAACUCGGCGCCAGGAGCCGGGGGAGUAAAAGAGCACACUUCUGAUC